RNAcentral lists this ribosomal RNA (253 nucleotides) under uncultured bacterium. RNAcentral's name for it is "partial 16S ribosomal RNA". It matches the Rfam family "Bacterial small subunit ribosomal RNA", at positions 524 to 776 of the family's 1533-position model. The record is from RNAcentral.
UACGAAGUUGGCAAGCGUUGUUCGGAUUUACUGGGCGUACAGGGAGCGUAGGCGGUUGGGUAAGUCCUCCGUGAAAUCUCCGGGCCUAACCCGGAAAGUGCGGAGGGGACUGCUCGGCUAGAGGAUGGGAGAGGAGCGCGGAAUUCCCGGUGUAGCGGUGAAAUGCGUAGAGAUCGGGAGGAAGGCCGGUGGUGAAGGCGGCGCUCUGGAACAUUUCUGACGCUGAGGCUCGAAAGCGUGGGGAGCAAACAGG